GAUGAACGCUGGCGGCGUGCCUAAUACAUGCAAGUCGAGCGAACGGACGAGAAGCUUGCUUCUCUGAUUUUAUCGGCGGACGGGUGAGUAACACGUGGAUAACCUACCUAUACGACUGGGAUAAUUUCUGGAAACCGUAUCUACUACCGGAUAAUAUUUUGAACCUCAUUGUUCAAAAGUUAAAGACGGUCUUGCUUUCACUUAUAGAUGGAUCCGCGCUGCAUUAGUUAGUUGGUAAGGUAACGGCUUACCAAGGCAACGAUGCAUAGCCGACCUGAGAGGGUGAACGGACACCCGGGAACUGAGAAACGGUCCAGACACCGACGGGAGGCAGCAGUAGGGAAUCUUACGCAAUGGAGGAAAGGCUGACGGAGCAAAGCCGCGUGAGUGAUGAAGGACUACGGAUCGUAAAGCGCUGUUAUUAGGGAAGAACAAAUGCGUAAGUAACUGUGAACAUCAUGACGGUACCUAAAGAGAAAGCCACGGCUAACUACGUG
This 497-nucleotide ribosomal RNA is filed under the name uncultured bacterium. RNAcentral describes it as "partial 16S ribosomal RNA". It matches the Rfam family "Bacterial small subunit ribosomal RNA", at positions 28 to 507 of the family's 1533-position model. The record is from RNAcentral.